This 463-nucleotide ribosomal RNA is filed under the name uncultured bacterium. RNAcentral's name for it is "partial 16S ribosomal RNA". It matches the Rfam family "Bacterial small subunit ribosomal RNA", at positions 28 to 507 of the family's 1533-position model. The record is from RNAcentral.
GAUGAACGCUGACAGAAUGCUUAACACAUGCAAGUCGAUGGGGAAGUGGUGCUUGCACCCUGGCAACCAUGGCGGACGGGUGAGUAACGCGUAAGGGACUUACCUGCAGGACUGGGAUAACAGGGGGAAACUCCUGACAAGACCGGAUAAUGUCAUGGAGCUGCAUGGCUUUAUGAUGAAAGGAGACGCCUGCGGAGAGCCUUGCGUCCUAUUAGCUAGUUGGUGAGGUAAUGGCUCACCAAGGCGAAGAUAGGUAGCCGGCCUGAGAGGGUGGACGGCCACAAGGGGACUGAGAUACGGCCCUUACGCCUACGGGAGGCAGCAGUGGGGAAUAUUGGACAAUGGGGGCAACCCUGAUCCAGCAAUUCUGUGUGCACGAAGAAGGUUUUCGGAUUGUAAAGUGCUUUCAGCAGGGAAGAAGUAAGUGACGGUACCUGCAGAAGAAGCGACGGCUAACUACGUG